CCUACGGGGGGCUGCAGUGAGGAAUAUUGGACAAUGGGCGAAAGCCUGAUCCAGCCAUGCCGCGUGAGUGAUGAAGGCCUUCGGGUUGUAAAGCUCUUUCGACGGGGAAGAUAAUGACCGUACCCGUAGAAGAAGCCACGGCUAAAUUCGUGCCAGCAGCCGCGGUAAUACGAAUGUGGCAAGCGUUGUUCGGAAUCACUGGGCGUAAAGAAUGCGUAGGCGGCUUGACAAGUCAGAAGUGAAAUCCCAGGGCUCAACCCUGGAACUGCUUUUGAAACUGUUGGGCUAGUGUCCCGGAGGGGUUGAUGGAAUUCCGAGUGUAGAGGUGAAAUUCGCAGAUAUUCGGAGGAACACCAGUGGCGAAAGCGAUCAACUGGACGGGUACAGACGCUGAGGCACGAAAGUGUGGGGAUCAAACAGGAUUAGAUACCCCGGUAGUC
Molecule: ribosomal RNA, 440 nt
Filed under: uncultured Alphaproteobacteria bacterium
Lineage: Bacteria; Pseudomonadati; Pseudomonadota; Alphaproteobacteria
Description: bacterial SSU rRNA
Rfam family: Bacterial small subunit ribosomal RNA
Source: RNAcentral